CCCGCCCGCUCUCGGCGGCAGCCCCGCCCCCGCCGCAUUCACGCCCCUCACCGUCCCGGGCCGGGGGGCGGCGGGCCGCGAGGCAGGCCGGCGGGGGCGUGGCUUCGCCUGUCACUGGCGCUGGGGCGCGGGGCGCGGAAGAGGCCGCGGCAGGGCUGCCGGGAAGGGGGCGGCGGGCGACGCGCAAACUUUACUAGGAGUUUGGCACUUGGCGGCGAGCUGCUGUGCCGUGCUGCAGGCCGGCCAGGAGGUCCCGGAAGAAGGCCUGCUUCACUGAAGACCGUCCCGGGGCCGGACGGGCCGCGGAACCGCCGCCUCGCAGACUGGGGCACAACUGACAGCUCCUCCAUACCCCCCAGCCUUACUCGUCACUCCGCCCCGCAGUGCGGUAUAAGUAGUGUCCGGCACAAAACUGGCAACUCCCAGAGCCAAUCCACUUCCUGGCCUUACCUCUAUGGCCAAUGAGGAUGAAGGAGAGGCAUGGCGACGACGGCUCCCAGAUUUAGGGUUUCCGAGGAGCCGGAGCGGAGCCGUUGCCUAGACUACGGGCUGAGCCGCCCCUUCCGGCCUAGGCCCCGCCCUGGGCGUGGCCAUGCGGGGGAGGGGGGCCGCUGCCGCCUUUUGUCCUGUGCGGGCCGCGGUCCAGCUUGGACGGCUGUCGCUGUCCGAGAGCCGCCUCGGGCGCGGCGCCCGGGCAGCGCCUUCAGCCAAGUGUGGCGGCGGGCUUUCUCGGGAGCCAGCCGCUGACACUGCCCCGCUGGCCGUGCCGGAGCGUCGCCGCAACCAGGCGGCCCGCUCUUCCGCCUGGGACCUCCAGGAUUCCCCAGCUGCGGAACGAGACGCGGGGACUUCGCCGUUUAAGCGGCACUGCGACCUCCGAAGCCACCAGCAGUUCCACAAGUCCUGAGCGAUCCCGUGAAUCUGUAGUUUAUAGAAUCGUGCAUUCGCCACCAGGGCGCGCACUGCAGAGACCCGCGCGGGUGUUUUGUGAAGGGGGUGUCGGCGCCGCCCCACGCGCUCCCGCGGCCGUGUUUGGAGCCAGAGCGCUCAGGUUGGAGCGUGGCUGCGGCGCUAAAGGACAAACUCAUUUUGCUUCGAAGUCCUGGAUUACCAUCUUCGCUCUGGAAACCGCUCACCCUCUGCUGCCCGGAGAAUUGGUUAUUUUACCAGUUCACACUUCUUCCAGUCUGGGCCCAAGAGAGAGCAAAUGAAAAUUAGUCAACUUUCACUUUUACAAGAAAAUAUUGGCCACCAGUCUGCACAAAAACACUAUGACAUAUGGAAACAAAAACGAAGUCUGUAGAGAGCUACAAGGUUGAAUUUUUAAAAAUCAUGCCUUUUUUCGCAAAGAGCAUAUAAGUACUUUAAAACUACACCAAGAAAGACUUUUAAUUCUGACAUUCACUGGGGGAAUGAACAGCGUUUAUCUGGGGUCACAAACAAGUGUUGGAGCCGGCCAUGGUGGUGCUCUCCUGUAAUCCCACCACUCGGGAGACUGAGGCAGGAGGAUUGCCGUGAGUUCGAGGCCAACCUGGGCUGCAUAGUGAGUUCAAGGCCAGGCUUAACUACAUAGGGGCCCUGUGUCACAAAAUUAAAAAUAAAAAAGAAUAAAUGUUAGAAAUAAUUUACCCCUUCCAAUAAAUAAUCAAGCUGGAGUUUGACCUAUGUUAAUUUCAAAAAGUCAGGAUGCUACCUGAAUGAUUAUUUUGCCCUUCUCUUGUUCACGGACUUCACAGACACAUAAACCAGAGAGGUGUCUUGCUAUUCAGGUAGAAGUGCUGGACUGUGCCAGCUCCACAGCGAGUGCCACUGUCUUAUAUGCCAGGAGCUCAGUGGUGAACGAACGGUUGCCUCCAUAGAACAUGGCACCCUUGGGCUAAAAAGUCAAAAGUAUUUUAUUUUUUAUUGGCUUUACAAAGUGGUUUCCUGCAUAAACUUAGAACACUAAUAAAUGAAAUAUAACACUUAUUAUGUCUUUUAAAUAUGCCACUAAGGACAAAUAUUUAAUUUUGAAAAUAAAUUGGAAAUCUUGACUUUCAGGCUUGCUCUUUGUAGUGUACACCAAAAAUAGAUAUUAAAACUUUUAGGCCAGGGAUUUAGCUCAGUGGUUCUACCACCUGCCAUGCAAGCGCAAGGACCCAAGUUUGAUCCCCAGUACAGGAAAAAAAAAACAACUUUUAGCUAAAGGAACACUUGGGAGUAGGGAUGCAGCUUGGUGGUGGAACAUGUUCCUGGCAUGCAGCAGUCCCUGGGUUCAAUCCCCAGCAGCAAGCAAUCAAUCUAAAAGUGUUUCUGGUUUAACUAGAGAUGCUCAAACCUGUUGGAAUAAAACACAAGGGAUGAACACACAACUCUUUGUUUUGAAUGCUUACAAAAUAAAUACUAGCUUCAUCUGAAACUUGAAAUGCUGUAAACAUUAUGUUGCUGUAAUCUAUUUUACUUUGGAUUUACAAGAUUUUGCCUCAGAAGAAAAUGUCACCCUGAAAACUACAGUUUGUUGUCAUAAAAGACUGAAAAUGGC
This is a long non-coding RNA of Heterocephalus glaber (naked mole-rat), 2521 nucleotides long. The record is from Ensembl. NCBI's taxonomy places the organism in Eukaryota, Metazoa, Chordata, Mammalia, Rodentia, Bathyergidae.